CCGACGCGGGACCCACUGCCACGUCCGUCUUCAAUCGUCGUUUUCAAGCCUCAGCACAACGCAAGCACGAAUAAUGUAGUCAGUUUCUGGCAUUUCAUCCCCAAUUGAUUCCGGGCGUUUUACUGCACCAAUCGUUGCACCGUUUGUUGCUACUUAAGCUCCACACCUUUCUCUUCAUUUUCCCCCAAACGGCACAUCCUGAGAGCCUCCAGGCUGCUCGAAUUCGAGUUCGAAAGUCCGCAGCACCGUCACGGUAAAUCGUCGAUUGCGCGACGACGGCAUUUUCAUCUCCGAGCUGUUCGUGGGAAAGUUUAUUUUUUCGGCGAGCGGUUUCGCGAGAAGUACGGUACGUAGAAGGCGACUCGGGAAGCUCGUCGUCCACGUCUUCGUCCAUCUCCGUUCCCGACAACAGUAUCGAUCACAUUCGCGCUAUUGAUUGUGGUUGCUCUGAUUGCAACGAGUAUUUUUGCGAAGAGUGUACCAACUCCUCCCCUCGCUAAGGCAAG
This is a long non-coding RNA of Lolium perenne, 506 nucleotides long. RefSeq lists it as uncharacterized. The record is from RefSeq and is a predicted model, not a curated record. NCBI's taxonomy places the organism in Eukaryota, Viridiplantae, Streptophyta, Magnoliopsida, Poales, Poaceae.